RNAcentral lists this ribosomal RNA (404 nucleotides) under Aqaballianassa lewtonae. RNAcentral describes it as "partial small subunit ribosomal RNA". It matches the Rfam family "Microsporidia small subunit ribosomal RNA", at positions 752 to 1279 of the family's 1311-position model. Lineage: Eukaryota; Metazoa; Arthropoda; Malacostraca; Decapoda; Callianassidae. The record is from RNAcentral.
AUUCUGGCUCAAUAUAAAUACCAAAUUACUAAAAGUUAUAACCUCUAAAAUUAAAGGAUUUGGCGGUAAUUUAGUCCAGUUAGAGGAACCUGUGCUGUAAACGAUAUACCCCGAAGAAUCUUACCUAUUUUAAACAGCUUGUAUACCAUCAUUAUUAGAUGACUUUUAAAAAAUCUAAGCUAUCUCAAUAAAACGACACUUAAUAUAUUAGAUCAAGGCGCAGCUUAUACUUAGGAAUUACAUGGGUUACAAUAAAUCUUAUCUACACGAAUGCAAGUUUUAAAUAACUUUCUGAAGGAGGAUUUAAUAGUAAAUUUAAUUUAAUAAGUUAAAUUGAUAAAGGAUCUAAAUUGUGUACAUAUCGCCCGUCAUUUUCAAUAACCAUGGAACAAGUCGUAACAUAG